This 664-nucleotide long non-coding RNA is filed under the name Lepidothrix coronata (blue-crowned manakin). RNAcentral describes it as "lncRNA (ENSLCOG00000016277.1)". Lineage: Eukaryota; Metazoa; Chordata; Aves; Passeriformes; Pipridae. The record is from RNAcentral.
AAUGUUCAGACAUUGCCUUUUACACUUACUUUCACUGCAAUUUAUAAUCCUUUUAGAGCACAAGACUGCUGACGUAGAAUUGGAAGAUGAAAGUCAGUCUGUUCUUCAUGAAACUCUCCAUUCCCAGCCUGGAGAGAGGCACGAAGAUGUAGAUGAAAGUAUAAGUGACCAGUGGCAAGUGAAGGAAGAAAUACAUGGAGAAACUUUUGAAGCUCCUACAACAGAUGACAUGCACAGAGGAUUAGAGAAUGAAAUGCCAGAAGCAUAUGAGACACCAGACUCAAUUCAGAAAGAUGCUGAUCUUUUGGCAGAUGGUCUUGAAGCAGUGGAGUCUGAGCCCUAUGAAGUUCCAGCUUCAGAUGAUUAUGUUGUAUCUAUGGAGGGAAGAGUAAAUGAUCCAGAAGCUCCAGGUGACUCUGAGGUAGUACUAGAAGAUGCUAUGGAACAUUACACAGAACCCAAACAUGAAAAGCAGACUGAGACUCAAGACACAGCUAUUCACGACCUUCCAGAGGAGGUGAAUGAAGCCACAGAGCCAGAUAAAGUUACUGAAGAUUUUGAUGUUGCUAAAGAUGUUUCAGGUACGAGUUUUUAUAGUUUGUGAAAGAAAAAAUUUAUAUUAAUAUAAUUAAAAAACAAGCAAAUGAAAAACAAAGCAGAUAAA